CCUAGUAAGCGCGAGUCAUUAGCUCGCGUUGAUUACGUCCCUGCCCUUUGUACACACCGCCCGUCGCUACUACCGAUUGAAUGGCUUAGUGAGACUUUCGGAUGUGUUUGGAGCCGCUGGCAACAGCGACACCUUGCGCAGAAGUUAUUCAAACUUGGUCAUUUAGAGGAAGUAAAAGUCAUAACAAGGUUUCCGUAGGUGAACCUGCGGAAGGAUCAUUAAAAAAAAAUUUAAUGAAUGGUCGGGGGGGACUUUUUUUGUGCCCUUCGGCUUUAUUCAACCAACCCGCUCUUGUAUUUUGUAUCAAACAAAAAUUUUUAAAAACACUAAUAAAAUAGUAAUGUAAAAAAAACUUUCAACAACGGAUCUCUUGGCUCUCGCAUCGAUGAAGAACGCAGCGAAAUGCGAUAAGUAGUGUGAAUUGCAGAACUUUGUGAACCAUCGAAUCUUUGAACGCAAAUUGCACCUUUUUCGGAAGGCAUGUCUGUUUGAGGGCACCAUUUAACGAAUAAUGUGCGUGUUGCGUUUUGCGCGGCGUGCACACGUUGAUGAGCUUUCCAAAGAAAAAAAUUUUUUUUUUUUUGGUGGCGCAUAAUGAACAGCGUGAAAGCUUUUCUUAAUUCGAGUGUAGUAAAAACGACGCUUGGGUUGUGAGAAGCACAUCGCGCAGUGGGUGUGGCGGUACCCAGCCCCAACGCCACUCUUUCUCACGAAAGGAAAGUUUAAUCAUCAGGGCCUCAAAUCAGACAAGAGUACCCGCUGAACUUAAGCAUAUCAAUAAGCGGAGGAAAAGAAACUAACAAGGAUUCCCCUAGUAACGGCGAGUGAAGCGGGAACAGCUCAAAUUUUAAAUCUGGCUGCUUCGCAGUCCGAGUUGUAGUUUGAAGGAGUCUGUCGCCAGUGCGACGAUGGCACAAGUCCUCUGGAACGUGGCAUCGUAGAGGGUGGGAAUCCCGUCUCUGGUCGUUGUUGCGCUGGCACACGGCAGGCAUCCGAAGAGUCGAGUUGUUUGGGAUUGCAGCUCCAAAUGGGUGGUAAACUCCAUCUAAGGCUAAAUAUUGGCGAGAGACCGAUAGCGAACAAGUACCGUGAGGGAAAGAUGAAAGGAACUUUGAAAAGAGAGUAAAACAGUACGUGAAAUUGUUGAAAGGGAAACGCUUGAAGUCAGUCGUGCCGGCGGUGAUUCAGCUCGCUUCGCGGAGCGGGCGUAUUUCCUCGCAUGGCAGGUCAGCGUCAGUUUCGCGCGUCGUGAAAGGGCUCGGGUAAGGUGACUCUCUCCGGGGAGUGUUAUAGACCUGAGCAGAUGCGCUGCGCGGGACUGAGGAUUGCAGCGGACACCCUUCGGGGCGCGGCGACCGACCCCUGCUUCAUCACCCUUGUCCGAUAGCGUGCUAACGGGCCGGGGAGCGGUGGGCGCACCGGGUUGGCAAGCCGGCGGCUCCGCUAAGGGCGCUGACGUAAUGGCUUUAAACGACCCGUCUUGAAACACGGACCAAGGA
This 1499-nucleotide ribosomal RNA is filed under the name uncultured Glomeromycotina. RNAcentral's name for it is "eukaryotic LSU rRNA". The stretch from base 733 to 1499 matches the Rfam family "Eukaryotic large subunit ribosomal RNA", at positions 1 to 672 of the family's 3401-position model. The record is from RNAcentral. Lineage: Eukaryota; Fungi; Glomeromycota.